Molecule: non-coding RNA, 220 nt
Filed under: Ruminiclostridium cellobioparum subsp. termitidis
Lineage: Bacteria; Bacillati; Bacillota; Clostridia; Eubacteriales; Oscillospiraceae
Also listed under: 1 other name
Source: RNAcentral
UAAUAAUUUUUGAAUACUGGUUGCUUAAGAAAUUAAGCACUAAGAGGGAAGCCGGGUGAAAAUCCCGUACAGUCCUGCUGCCGUGAUGACGGAGGAGGUUCUCCGGAAGCUUUGUAUUUUUAGUAUGAAGCUUCCAAAUGCCACUGGGCGAUCAGCCUGGGAAGGUGAGAACCGACAAAGAUGUCUUAGUCGGAAGACCUGCCUGUAUUAUCUGCAAAUG